Molecule: non-coding RNA, 81 nt
Organism: Nomascus leucogenys (northern white-cheeked gibbon)
Lineage: Eukaryota; Metazoa; Chordata; Mammalia; Primates; Hylobatidae
Source: Rfam
GGUACUGGUAGAGAGGUCUUCCAUGAUGCAUUCAAUUUAUUUUUUGACCAAUCCUACAUAGUGGACCCUUUUGAAAGCAUU